UAAUAGCUGCCAAUUAACAUAAAGAAUUACCCCCCUUCUCUUCUUGUGAUAACUCUUAUUUAUACUGGUGUUAGAUCGUUCGUUCUGUUAAUAGUACCCAAGUGACUUAGCACCCGUGAUUCUCUCUAACAGAUUCUCUUCUGGCCAACUAAUUCCAGCUGCAUAAUUCUGGAUCCUUCCUUCCUAUACUUCCUCUGUAAUGCAUCCUCAACAGUUUUGGGCCUGGAUCUCGAUUUUCUGGACUUCUAUCAAAGAUAUUGUUGCCGGACAAUUGUGCUAGACACCUGCAGUCUUGGAUAUAACCUGUGAAGCCUGAAACUCAUCCAUACUCAUUUGAUAUGAUUUUUUGCUCAAACUAAGAUUGUCGUAAAGACAUGAUUGCAUGAGUGAUAGGACAUAUCUCCUUCCUAGUGUUAUACGAUGUUGCAUUACUGCAUGAAUUGUGGUGUUUGCUCUUAUGUACCAGGAGAAGUAAAUGCUAGCUUUUCUUUUCUAGGUUUUAUCUGGUAUACUCGCUACAUUCUAUUGGCACUCAAAUUUCAACAGCUGCUUGAUUUUCAAUUGGUUAAGACAUCUAUAAGUCUCUUGUUUCCCUUUUGAGGACAAGCAGAAUCUGUUUCUUCAAUAGUUGAUUCGGUAAUCCAUUAAGAAUAUCUUUGUGGUGGUUGGCUCACUAUAAAUUUUUUGGGGAAUCCAUGGGCCUUUUAAUGGCCCUUGGAUGUGCAUUUAUGUCAUUCAUGUCCGAGGGAAUUGUUCACCUUGUUUCUUCCCUGUAGUCAGCUAAUGCACAUGAUCUGCUGACAAACAAGGAUGCUUCUCUUUAACAGGUUUCCCUUUUUCUGUCUUAAUAGUGGAAGCAAGAUAAUUUAUUAUCUGUGAUAUUGUCGUGUUCCAUUUCUAUGGAGAUGUUCUGGGGAAUUUUCCACGCUCCUUAUAGUAGGAGAAGGAUAUCUUUGUGUUUUAUUUCUCAAUAAAUUUGAUACGUUUUCCUUGUUUCCUUUUUUAUUCUUUAAAGUACAUUUUGGCCUAUGGAUUUAACCUUGGCUGUUGGAAAGAAGCCAGGCAAAUGGUUUUGGGAAGAUUGGAAAAUUAAGGUUACCCUUUGGUUUGGUCUUCUGCGUAUCAAGUGGACAACUUUUAGAGUCUUUUUAUUUUUGCUGCAGUGGAUGUCUUAUUGCAUUUCAGAUGCAGUAUGUAACUAUAUAUGCUUAACCCACCAAAUAGCAAACAGAUGGACCUUCUUACCUGUAGUUUAUUUUUAGUGAGGUAUUGCAUGGCCAUAUUCUUUCACAAGCUUCUGCAUCAGAUUUGGCCUAUCUAAUAUUUAUCCAUGAUGCAGGAUGGCCAUCCACCAUUGGGCUGGCAUGACACUGCAGCUUACCUGGUUUUACCUGUCCUCCUUGUUGUUUCUCAAUAUGUGUCAAUGGAGAUCAUGAAACCUCCC
This 1444-nucleotide unclassified non-coding RNA is filed under the name Hevea brasiliensis (rubber tree). The record is from RNAcentral. Lineage: Eukaryota; Viridiplantae; Streptophyta; Magnoliopsida; Malpighiales; Euphorbiaceae.